CGAUCCAUGGUAUGUAGAGGAGUAGCUUUAUGAUCAAGGGGGGGAAAGAAACCUGUCGAGCUUGCUCACGGGCUUUCUAUCAUAUCCAUAACACCUGUGCACUUGUUGGAUGAUCUAAAGACAUAGGGUAAAACCUAAAGUCAAUAGUCAUCCACUUACACUAAACAAUAAUGUAACAAAUGUAGUCUUAUUAUAACAAAAUAAAACUUUCAACAACGGAUCUCUUGGCUCUCGCAUCGAUGAAGAACGCAGCGAAAUGCGAUAAGUAAUGUGAAUUGCAGAAUUCAGUGAAUCAUCGAAUCUUUGAACGCACCUUGCGCUCCUUGGUAUUCCGAGGAGCAUGCCUGUUUGAGUGUCAUGAAAACCCUCAACCUUAGAUUGGUUAUUUGACCUUUCUUUGGCUUGGAUUUGGACGUUUGCCGAUGUCAAGUCGGCUCGUCUUAAAAGUAAUAGCUGGAUCUGUCUCGCGACAUGGUUUGACUUGGCGUAAUAAGUAUUUCGCUAAGGACAUCUUCGGAUGGCCCUGUUGCAGGACUAAAGACCGCUUUCUAAUCCAUUGAUCUUCGGAUUAAUAUUCAUAACAUCUGGCCUCAAAUCAGGUAGGACUACCCGCUGAACUUAAGCAUAUCAAUAAGCGGAGGAA
This 643-nucleotide ribosomal RNA is filed under the name Cryptococcus sp. MM 1_1. RNAcentral's name for it is "eukaryotic LSU rRNA". The stretch from base 205 to 358 matches the Rfam family "5.8S ribosomal RNA". Lineage: Eukaryota; Fungi; Basidiomycota; Tremellomycetes; Tremellales; Cryptococcaceae. The record is from RNAcentral.